GGGAGCCCUGCGAAGUUCUGUGGGGGACGUUGCCAUCCUGCUCCGCCAUCGCCAAUUUUUUUUUAUUUUCUUUGAUCUAGAAAUUAUGGAUGACACUUCUAAAAUGUAAACUAAAUCAUUCAUACACAGUUUGACAGGAACAAAUAUGUUGUUAGUGGAUUCUGCCCAAUCACACCAAAGUAACAUAAUUAUCCAAGGUUUAAUUCUCCAUAAAACAGAUAGCCAAAACAAACUAAAAUUUUGUGCUGAGAUGACCAAACAUAUCAAAUGGUAUGCACAAUUGAAACAAAAUGUUAUUGAACACUUACUGGUUGACAUGAACUGACUUGGGAGCAUAUAAGCAUUAUAACGGAGAAACCAAGAGACAAACAAAGUUGACAGAGACUCAUUCAAGUGGGACGCUAAUAUCAAGCAACAACUUGUUCUAUAUGAAAUUGGAGAACGGGAGGGUACAGGGUGUGGUAUUUAUGUAGCCUGAGUUUGUGCACAUAGAUAUUGAAUUAGAAAGAUCAUUAAUCACAGAUCCAGAAAUACAAACACGAAAUAGCUGAAAGGUGGAAAAGUAGUAAAUAUGUAGUAUAAACAAUUAAGGAGACAGAAAUAGAGUGAGGGCGUGGCAGUGGAAUCACCAGAUCGGCAAGGCGCUCACGUACAGACGUACAGGGCACCGC
This 671-nucleotide long non-coding RNA is filed under the name Zea mays. RNAcentral describes it as "drought responsive lncRNA". Lineage: Eukaryota; Viridiplantae; Streptophyta; Magnoliopsida; Poales; Poaceae. The record is from RNAcentral.